This is a long non-coding RNA of Hemicordylus capensis (graceful crag lizard), 611 nucleotides long. RefSeq lists it as uncharacterized. The transcript is spliced from 3 exons. The record is from RefSeq and is a predicted model, not a curated record. Lineage: Eukaryota; Metazoa; Chordata; Lepidosauria; Squamata; Cordylidae.
UUCUAUUGGCUGACUUGAUUAUGACAUCACUGUUCUGUUUCCCUGGUUACUGAUUAUUGUGGGUCUAUGCAGUUGGUCUUUCACUCUCCCUUCCCGCUGUUCUUGAGAGCUUUGCUGUCUCCUUGCAGGUCUCAAAAUCUUGUUAGUCCUUUUAAGGUCCUGAGUCUUCCUGUCAGUUCUGAUUGGUUCUUGUUGACUUUGUAAACCAGUAGAAGGACACAGCUCAGAGACACUUCCCAUCACUUCUCAAGCUGCUCUGACCAUCUCUCCCUUUAAUUCUGUGAAAAUGAAACUGUGGGUCUUUUUCCUGCUUCUAGGUUUUGCCUUCACCUUGGUGACUGCAGGUUAUGGCAGAUAUGGAGAAGGAAGCCAAUCUAACCGUGUCUUUUGGAAUUCUGGCCGUAGCUCUGGUCAUGAGGGCCGUGGAACAAGCCGUUCUGGUGGUGGUGAAAGUGAUUCUUUUCGAAGCACCUAUGAAGCAUAACGUGGUGGGGUUCUGUCACUUUUGAUGGAUCCUGAUAAUGCUCUUAUCAGUUGCUAGUAAAAUUUAUAUUAUCGGAUAAUAAAAAAUAGCAACAUUUAUAAUAAAAACCAAAAGUAUUGCAGAAAAA